AAAAAAAAACAUGAAAAAGCUUGAGCACACGAAGAUGAACUCUCAACUUACCCCGCCCGUUCGUCGUAAACAAAAGAGAUGAGGUAGCCAUCGUCUUCAUCCGCGUCCUUGUCGGAGCUCUUUGGAACAAACACCACCUCGGAGCCAAACCGGCGACUUCCAUACAUGAACUCCCCGACCACAUUGCUCCCAACGGGAUUACCACCAUCCUUGGAGAGCUCGGGAUCCUUGUGGAGAUCAAACUUCGCCACUCCUUUGAUCCUCACUUGAUCGUGGAAAACGGCAGCAUACACGUAACGUUGCUUCCUGUGAAAGUACGAGAUUUAUGGAUGCAAACUCUCAAGAGAGCCUAUAACCUUCCUAUGUAGUUUUCGUUGAUGCGAGGAAACUCCACCGCUGGCCCCUUUGAGAGUGGACGCUGCAAAGCAGCACCGCUCUUCAUGUUGAACCGAAAUUCGUAGCUGUGUCCAAGGAUUUUGUGAGGAAAAGAGAGACUUGAAAAAGAAAAGAACUUACAGCUCGAGAACAUGAUCGACAUAGUCUUUCAUGAGCUCCAUGUCGAACUUUGGCAUGCGGCAAGCAACGAGAACUACCUCGUCCCCGUCUUCCCACGCAUUUGCUGCUUAGAAUCAACAGGUCCAACGUUCUUGGAGAAACUGUGAGAAUUCUAACCUGUGUGGAAAAUAUAACAAGAUGGAAGAUGAAACCAGCGCAUCUGGCUGUCGCUGAGAGCAUAACGAGGCAGCACUCCAAAGCGGGACUUCUUCGUGCUGUCAAACGAGAUUAUCAUUUUUCCCUCACCCAUGUUCUUUAAACCAGAAUAAAUAUAUAAAUAAAUACGAAAGAUGAGAGACUGUUUGUGUGUGUGAUUGUCCCACCUUUGGUUUAAAAGGCACUGGAAGAUCCAUGAAAACUGCGUAGUUCUCCGUGAUUGCAAAGUCGUGCAUCAUCACGGGGUCGGGGAUGUUGAUGCUUACCGGAUCAUGCAAAGUUCCAUCUUUUGAAAUGACGCGAUAGAUUACGUAUGGUGUUUGCUGUUGGUAACAGAAGAAAAACAUCUCGCCUGAAGAAAAGUAAAAAAAGAAGAAGAAAAACUUGACUUUAGCUCGUAAGUUUGAAUGAAAGAACUAACCUGUCACAGGGUCAACUUUGGGAUGAGCAGUAACAGCGUGAGACAAUCUUUUGUCAUAGUCAAGCACGCCAAUUGUCUCAAGGUUCCCAUCGUCGAGCAUUCGAAUAGCAUCUGACAAAAACAAAAAUAAUGUUUCCUACAAAGAUAAAAACAAAGAGGAAACGAGCUUACAUGGUUUGUCAGCCUCUAAUAGUGCUAAAAGUUUCUUGUUGUGAUACACCAUGGCUGUGUUGGCUGCAAAGAGACGGAGAACACGAUUAAAUGAAAAAUAAAAAAAGAAGUCUUCGUUUUACCAGUUCCCAUGCCAUACUCUGCGUCCACAACACCGAGAGCAACUCGCAGCCGAAAAACAUUCGCUAAGAAAAUCCCAAGUAUUCCUUUCAAGUCUCCCAGCUUCAAAGGCAUUUCAGCUUCAAGAAAACCAAGAACCAAGGAAGAAAAACCAUACACACCUUCAGGAAAGUUGGAGUUCCAUAGAAUUCCUCUUGCUUUAACUUGGAGGUCUUCACGUAGCGAGAGACAUAGUUUGCUUUCCCGUCCUUGAUUCGCAGACCAUGCAGCAUUCUGGUUGAAACAAAGAACAAAGAAACUUGUAAGCCAACGCAUGAUAGAACUAAGAGGAAAACUUAAAUACCCAUCUCCGUCGAACCUACAAGUAAGAUGGGGAUAAAAUGGAGAAGAAAAAACGAAAAAAACUACCACUUUCAUACCAGUGGUAGCCUGCAGUAGGCUCGAAUCUCGGAUUUGGUCCAGUGCGCACGAAUUCUCCAUUCAAGCAUUCCUGUAAAGAAAAGAACGAAAAAAUCAAGACAAUGCGAAGACAAAUCUAUUAAAAAAGCUUACCGGGAGAGUGCCAGUUACUGGCAAGUCCACAAAUGGCCCAGACUCUCCAACUGGCGCGAAGUUAUCUUGAAGAAACAGGUUGGAUUUGCUGGAAGCGCUGCUAAACAACUGGACGAGCAAAGCCUCGAUCCCAUCGCAAAGCUUGGCAGCAAUCCUGGCUCCUAUGCCCGGCGUUCUUGGCUGGACGAUCCGGACGCCCAGGGGCAAGCUGCCCAGGAACUUAUCUUGGCUCUCCUUGCGCAGUCUCUCGGUUCCCAUCUCUCCCAAAUGUUCUCUUUUUAGAGUUAGCGUGUGGCCGUUCAUUUGGAAGCUUGUAGAUUCGGAUUGUAAACCAACUACAAAGAAGCACAAAAAGCUUCUUAUCAAAGUUGAUCUCAACCAGUCAUCCUGAAGAACAAUUUGCCACCGUUGGAUGAGUAGUGCAUGCCAAAAUAAAUUUUAGAAACGUAUAAACAACAAGAGAGGAGUGGGGACUACAACAUUUGGAUUUUUCUAUUGGUGAUGAGGUAUAGCGCCACUUAAUCGAAAAUAUCUUAAGCUUCGACAUCACUCCUUCCGAGACUUUUCGGAAAUUCAAUGACUCGGAUUCUAUUCACCUUGGGACUGGACGCCACCGCAGCAGCACUCCCCGCAUUGAAGCCGGAGAUCGCGAUCGCGACGACUGGGCCUCCAAUCCCUUGAUUUCCUUGGAGGACGGCGCGAUAAUUUUGACGUGGCGGAGAAAGAAAGCCAAAUAUCACAUUUUAGGGGCGUGGUUGAAGAAGCUGUGUCAAGAGAAGCGGUUGUAAGUUCUUCGAUCCAAUCAAGGAGCAAUACAUUUCUCAGUGGAAUUUCCUCUUUGUGUUUGUGGAAGCUUAACGAGGUUCUUGUAGGGCCAACUGUUUAGUUUGCGUCUUUGCUUCCAGGGUAUAGGCCUCGAAGAGUACACUGGAUUGGCAUCUAUUUCUCUUUUAUUCUGAGAGGAUUUCUUUGCAGCAAUACUGAAGAUCAAAGGUCUGGAUUGCCUCGUGAAUCUUCGCUUUAGCUCGAUUCAUAAGAUCGUCGGUUCUCCUUGGACAACGCCAACAGGAAUCCACAGCCAAGCCAAGCACAAGCUGGGUACCUAAUGUCACUGGAAGCGGGUUGAUACAUGGUUAAAUGUAUGGGUUUAUCGUGACGAUCCGUCUGGAUCGCUCACGUGGCUGUGUGCUGACGUGGUCUUGUUAGAGCUUGGAGGAAGAUGGACAACACCGUUUCAUAAUAAUACAUGGUAGCGAACGAUCUAAUGGCAAGAGGACAGUGGCAGAGGAAGAAUCAAAGGGACCAGGAACCCUUGGCUCGGGAGCGCGCGAGGGCUUUGGCAGUGCUGGUGGCCCAGCCUGCCGGAAGGUGUGCCUGUUGCGGCCGAGUUUUUCACGAUUCCUUCUCCACGUCGUCCUUUCUAAAUUCUCUGUUUAAUCUAUUCUUAGAUUAAUAGAGAGAAUGUCUUCUGCUAACGCAGCAGGAAAUUCUUGGGAUUCUGGAGGCUGGGAGAAACUUCUCCAAAAGUUCACGGGACAGAAUUUCGCCACUUGGAAAACAAAAAUACAGCUUAUCCUUUUUUGGCCAAGGAUUGCUGGCCUAAUGCAACCCAACGGCUCGACUGGGACGGGUUAGGUCUUGGGGAUGAAUUCGUUCAUCUCCUUGAUCUUACCAAAACAGCCCACCAGAACUGGACAUCCCUUACACAAAUCUUCGCUGCAAAAGCUGCCAAUGCUAAGGUGAUGCUACGAUGAGAAUGCAACCUGAUGACACCAUGGCCACUUACAUUGGAAAGUUUAAAGCGAUAAUCACCGAGAUGAAGGACUUGGAAGCAGCAAUCACCAUUGAUCAAGCUAAGGCAUUCCUUCUCAGCUCUGUCUCCCAACCUUUUGCAUCGAUGCUCUCGGCUGUGCCUGGAAAGGACUUGGACUCGUAUAAUUUUGACGUGGCGGAGAAAGAAUAUUCCCCAAAUAUCACAUUGUAGGGUUCCUGGGCUAAAAGGGGGGAAAAGCAAGAAAUGGGCUUUGAUAUGAGCCCGGCGGGCCUGAAGAAGCUGUGUCGGGAGAAGCGGCUGUAAGAUCUUCGAUCGCAAGGAUUCUUCUCAUGGAUUUCCUCUUUGUGUCUAGGUAUGCGAGUCUUCCAGAGCUUAACGAGGUUCUUCAUCUCCAUCACAGGGUAAUGUAGGGCAUUUUCCACUGCUUAUAGAGCUUUCGCGUCUUUGUUCCAGGGCAUAGUCGAGAUUAAAGGCCUCGAAGAGUACACUGGAUUAAAAACUCUCCACCUCGAGUCGAACGGUAUCUAGUUUUCUUCUUCUCUUUUAUUCUGAGAGGAUUUCUUUGCAGCAAUACUGAAGAUCAAAGGUCUAGAUUGCCUCAUGAAUCUUCGCUGCCUCUAUUUAAACCAGGUAGAGCGUUAUAGUUUUCGCAGUUCUAGUAAGAAACCACCUCACGAUAGAACGCUAGAGAAUGUUUUUCUUUUGUAGAACUUGCUCGAAGAUGUGGAAGGACUUGAUAAACUCCCCCGCUUGGAAGCACUCGAUCUGGCAGAUAAUCAGGCACACAAGGAUUCUUUUUCUUCGUUUGCUUUGUGAGUUUAAUCACUGCUUUGCAGAUCAAGUGCUUGAAAGGACUCUCUUGCUGCCAGUGCUUGCGUCAACUUAAUCUUUCUGGAACAUGCUUUGCCAGGAGGAGAACGUCGCACAUCUCACAGUAAAGACCACAAAACCACUGGACAACAUAAUCUCGCUCGUCCUUUCUUUCGCUAGAAAUGCAAGAGCUUGCAGUCACUCAACAUCUCCAGGAAGAAACUUGACAACGAAGAGUCUCUCCAGGUGAAAGAAAAUACAAGCUUGUCUUUUCUAAUCACUCGGUUUCAGAUCAUUCAAUCGCUUUCUCUCACCCUCUUGAAAAUGUCUGGAAAUCCGAUUGUAUCAACGAUACAACAUUACCGGAAGUUUUGUCUCGUCCAAAUGCCCACGGUAUACUUUUCCUUCACCAGAGAGCGAGAUUUCGAUUUUAAGUUCGCAGCUUACGUACCUGGAUGAAAGUCCUGUCUCUGAGAACGAGCGUCGCCUGGCAAGAGCAUGGACAGACGGUGGAAACGAGGUAAGAUCCAUGGUGCUGAUCAAAAUCUACGAACGAAAAACCAUUUUGUGCUGAUCAGGAGGAGACAUCAAUGCGGGAAACUAUACGCAAGGAAGAAGCCCAUCAGAGAGAGAUCCAUCGUCAAGGUACUGCCACCGUUUUGGAAGGAUGGAUGGUUCUUUAGCCAUCUCUAGAGCAGCAUUUGAAGCCAUGAUCGAGGAAGCGACGGCCGAGCUGGCCGAGAACGAGCGAAAGCAAAGAGAAGCGGCAGAAAGAGCUCAAGAGGAGCGAGCCGAGGCAGCCGCAAGAGAAGAGCAGUGCCGAGCGGAGAUUGCUGCGAGAGAGGAAGCGAAGAGGAGACAAGAGAUCCAAGAGCAGCGGAGAGCCGAGCUAGCAGCGAGGGAGGAGAAGAGAGCCGCCGAGCUUGUAGCGAUGGAGGAGGAGCUAGCCGCGGAGCUUGCUGCGCGCGAGAAGAACUUGUCCGAGGAAGGGAUUAUAGAGCGGCUCGAGUGCGCUGACAAGGAGAGGAAGUUUAAGAAGGAGCUCCAGGAGCGCGUUUUGGAGCGAGUGGCCCAAGACAAGAACGUCGCAAGGCCUAUGCUUUGGGGAACCAAAGGUUACAAGAGUCUCUGGGAAAUAGCAACUAAUAUAGACGACUCUACUUAACAAUCUUUUCUAGCCAAUGGUGGAAGAAAACUUUCGUCCUCUGUGAAGUGUGUGUCAUCUUUUAAAUUUUAGAAGCGUUGUGAAGUUUUACUUUGCAAAAGGGGCCCGGAUUUCUUCCUCUUAGUUCUUGGUAAUCUUGUUAGUGUUUUUCCCAAGAGUGUCUUUCAUAUUCCAGGGACAGGUUUGGAACCCAAACCAAACCAAUGUCUUUUCGAUCUCUCUACAAAACAUAAGUUGUUUACAAUUUAUAUAAUAAUAAUUCAGAAUCCACCAUCGCGUUUGCCAAGUAUACGUUUUUUUUUUCGUGAUCAAUUGUAAGUUUCUCAACAAUAUUCAUGCUUGGUUCCCUAGCUGAUCCUAAACUCGGGAAAUAAAAAAGGAAUUAGGACGAGAAAACAAAUGAGGAAACUCAAUCUCACCUCAUUCACAAAAAUCGAGUGGAAACCAUAAGGAAUCCUUACAGGGAUCGAGACCACAGCAACUGGAUCGGCUGCCAUUGUCUUGGCAUCAAUCACGACUGCCUCCGAUUUUCUGGAAGACAAAAAAAAACAUGAAAAAGCUUGAGCACACGAAGAUGAACUCUCAUCUUACCCCGCCCCUUCGUCGUAAACAAAAGAGAUGAGGUAGCCAUCGUCUUCAUCCGCGUCCUUGUCCGAGCUCUUUGGAACAAACACCGCCUCGGAGCCAAACCGGCGACCUCCAUACAUGAACUCCCCGACCACAUUGCUCCCAACGGGAUUACCACCAUCCUUGGAGAGCUCGGGAUCCUUGUGGAGAUCAAACUUCGCCACUCCUUUGAUCCUCACUUGAUCGUGGAAAACGGCAGCAUACACGUAACGUUGCUUCCUGUGAAAGUACGAGAUUUAUGGAUGCAAACUCUCAAGAGAGCCUAUAACCUUCCUAUGUAGUUUUCGUUGAUGCGAGGAAACUCCACCGCUGGCCCCUUUGAGAGUGGACGCUGCAAAGCAGCACCGCUCUUCAUGUUGAACCGAAAUUCGUAGCUGUGUCCAAGGAUUUUGUGAGGAAAAGAGAGACUUGAAAAAGAAAAGAACUUACAGCUCGAGAACAUGAUCGUCAGUGUCUUUCAUGAGCUCCAUGUCGAACUUUGGCAUGCGGCAAGCAACGAGAACUACCUCGUCCCCGUCUUCCCACGCAUUUGCUGCUUAGAAUCAACAGGUCCAACGUUAGCACAUUUGGAGAAAACUG
RNAcentral lists this long non-coding RNA (6930 nucleotides) under Selaginella moellendorffii. Its description in RNAcentral is "long non-coding RNA (SMOE_LNC002027)". Lineage: Eukaryota; Viridiplantae; Streptophyta; Lycopodiopsida; Selaginellales; Selaginellaceae. The record is from RNAcentral.